Molecule: long non-coding RNA, 879 nt
Filed under: Lathyrus oleraceus (garden pea)
Lineage: Eukaryota; Viridiplantae; Streptophyta; Magnoliopsida; Fabales; Fabaceae
Description: Pisum sativum (pea) long non-coding RNA (PSAT_LNC020256)
Source: RNAcentral
AUUCAUAUUCUUAUCAUAUUCCUUCUAAAAAAAGAAAAAUAAAAAGCAAAGAGAAGAGAAAAUGGAUGCAGAGAGGUUGCUGAAAAAUGAAUGAAUUAUUGUUUAGUUCAACUCCCACAUCCUCCUUCAAUUGUUUUUCCCCGUUAAAAUUUAGUCUAUUACCCCUUAGGAUUUAUCUUACCCUUACCCUGGUCAUGUUAUAACAUGAAUAAAACACUUUUGAUCUUUGUGUGCAUGUAUUUUAAGUGUGCAUGUUAGAGUCUUUUCAACCUUAUGGUAGUACUAAUUUUCAUGAAUAAAACACUUGUGCACACUGGUAUGAUAAAGGCAAGUUGUUUAUAUUUUAUUUUUAGUCACUUAGCCAAAAAAAGGAAACCUUAAAAAUAUCAUCCCUAGUUUGAAACUCCCUUUAGCGUAUUUAUCUCAUUCUUUGUUUGAAACUCAUUACAAGCCUAAAAGUGAAAAACAAUGUUAUUACCAUAUUUAAAGGGUUGAAAGAGUCUUAUUUAAAGUUGUAUGAGAUUGAAUUAAUAUAACUAUUACAAGCCUAAAAGUGAAAAACAAUGUUAUUACCAUAUUUAAAGGGUUGAAAGAGUCUUAUUUAAAGUUGUAUGAGAUUGAAUUAAUAUAACUGUGAUAUUUCAAAAGUUGGCAUAAAAGUAAAAAAAAUAAAAGAAAAAAUAAGAAGAAGAAAAAAAAAGGGAAGAAAAUUCAUAUUCUUAUCAUAUUCCUUCUAAAAAAAGAAAAAUAAAAAGCAAAGAGAAGAGAAAAUGGAUGCAGAGAGGUUGCUGAAAAAUGAAUGAAUUAUUGUUUAGUUCAACUCUCACAUCCUCCUUCAAUUGUCUUUUCCCCGUUAAAAUUUAGCCUAGUACCCCUUAG